AGAGUGAACGCUGGCGGUAGGCCUAACACAUGCAAGUCGAACGGCAGCACAGUGGUAGCAAUACCAUGGGUGGCGAGUGGCGGACGGGUGAGGAAUACAUCGGAAUCUACCUUUUCGUGGGGGAUAACGUAGGGAAACUUACGCUAAUACCGCAUACGCCCUUCGGGGGAAAGCCGGGGAUCGCAAGACCUGGCGCGGAUAGAUGAGCCGAUGUCGGAUUAGCUAGUUGGUGAGGUAAUGGCUCACCAAGGCGACGAUCCGUAGCUGGUCUGAGAGGAUGAUCAGCCACACUGGAACUGAGACACGGUCCAGACUCCGUACGGGAGCAGCAGUGGGGAAUA
This 341-nucleotide ribosomal RNA is filed under the name uncultured soil bacterium. RNAcentral describes it as "bacterial SSU rRNA". It matches the Rfam family "Bacterial small subunit ribosomal RNA", at positions 26 to 363 of the family's 1533-position model. The record is from RNAcentral.